AUCACAAAAGGCUAUGCAUAUUCCUACUUAAAUUUUAUAGCAAAAUGAAGCAAUUUGUUCAACCAUUUUGUUGCUCAGGACUCAUACAUCAACAUUGUUACCCAAAGUACACUUAUCCCAUGUUUCUUCCUAUAAAUAACAUAAGGAGUAAAGAUGACUGCAGAAAUCAUGUAAGCUACAGCAGCAAGUCAGCAACACACAAUAGAGGAGGGUGUUCAUUCUAUGUCAUCCAGCAAACAAAAGUAAAGCUCACAUCAUUCACAUGUAUUCAAGCAUUUAGGUCCGGCUUGUUGGGGAAAGAGUACUCCGAGCAAAAAAUAUUGUAAUCACACAAACAAAAAGAUAAAACAAAUGAUUAACAAAUAAGAUCUGAUGAUGACUCGAUAAAAAAUGUUUUCUAAAAAUAUUCAAUGAUUUUCUUAGCAUUGCCAUCCUGACUAGAAUAUGGAUACCAUUUCUAAAAUCCUUAGAAGAAUUAAGUUGCAAUUAUAGCAAAAAUGGCCAAUCAUGACGCAAUAUCUUUUUUUCAUGCUGUAUCAAAGUAAAUUUAUCAAAUGAAUCUAUUUCACUAAUUAGAAAAUUAGGCAGCAUGGUGAUCUAGCAGAGAGGUUAACGAUAAAAAAAGUUUCAACAGAUAAUUCAGAAGGCACAAGACAGAACUCAUUUGUACCAUCCAAAAACAGCAAUAAGUGUGCUUUGUGAUGCAAGAAUGGAUAGCUCACCCGUCUGCUGCUACAGUAGAGG
RNAcentral lists this unclassified non-coding RNA (744 nucleotides) under Zea mays. RNAcentral describes it as "misc RNA Zm00001eb163170". The record is from RNAcentral. Lineage: Eukaryota; Viridiplantae; Streptophyta; Magnoliopsida; Poales; Poaceae.